ACACAUGCAGUCGAGCGGCAGCACAGAGGAACUUGUUCCUUGGGUGGCGAGCGGCGGACGGGUGAGUAAUGCCUAGGAAAUUGCCCUGAUGUGGGGGAUAACCAUUGGAAACGAUGGCUAAUACCGCAUGAUGCCUACGGGCCAAAGAGGGGGACCUUCGGGCCUCUCGCGUCAGGAUAUGCCUAGGUGGGAUUAGCUAGUUGGUGAGGUAAUGGCUCACCAAGGCGACGAUCCCUAGCUGGUCUGAGAGGAUGAUCAGCCACACUGGAACUGAGACACGGUCCAGACUCCUACGGGAGGCAGCAGUGGGGAAUAUUGCACAAUGGGCGCAAGCCUGAUGCAGCCAUGCCGCGUGUAUGAAGAAGGCCUUCGGGUUGUAAAGUACUUUCAGUCGUGAGGAAGGUGGUGUUGUUAAUAGCAGCAUCAUUUGACGUUAGCGACAGAAGAAGCACCGGCUAACUCCGUGCCAGCAGCCGCGGUAAUACGGAGGGUGCGAGCGUUAAUCGGAAUUACUGGGCGUAAAGCGCAUGCAGGUGGUGGAUUAAGUCAGAUGUGAAAGCCCGGGGCUCAACCUCGGAACCGCAUUUGAAACUGGUUCACUAAAGUACUGUAGAGGGGGGUAGAAUUUCAUGUGUUGCGGUGAAAUUGCGUAGAAAUCUGAAGGAAUACCUGUGGCCCAAGCUGCCCCCUGCUCUAUA
Molecule: ribosomal RNA, 698 nt
Filed under: uncultured bacterium
Lineage: Bacteria
Description: bacterial SSU rRNA
Rfam family: Bacterial small subunit ribosomal RNA
Source: RNAcentral